UAGCGCAGGAAUGUAAGAUUUAAUCACGUGUGAUCACUUAAGACGCGUCUAGUUCCAGUCGUGAUUGCAUAUCCGAACAGACGUACAUUUAAAAUCUGAACUUGGCCUUGUGGGCCAAUACACAAACAUGACUAAACAAACAAAGAUGAUUUUUCCGAGCAGUGCGUUUUCCCUGCAAAUCAACUGUUAGGUGAAUUCUCUUCACAUGUUACAGUCCGCAUCCCUCAGAUCAACACCUGGAGGCUCCCGAACAGUGAUAAAGACAAACGCUCCAUCAUUGUCCUCCGUCCCACAGAGUAUCGGCUCACAUUAGUGAAGACAAAGAGGAGACUCUAAAGGUGUGACAUCAUCAUCCUAGGAGCUGAGCUGACACAGCAGAUUUUGUGCCGAUUCCCACGUCAGGGCUCUCGAACUGAAACAAGAUAAUGAUUGUGUUCAAAAAACACUUAAAACCCCUCAUGUGUCAGAGAAUGCAAGGUUGGCUGGAGAGGGAACUGAAAGAACCAAAUUCAUUGCUUUGCUCGAAAGCCAAGUGCCUUGUCGAUGCAACUGGCCGACGGAGCUAGACAAAUGUGCCCCAAGGCCGACCUAAGGCUGGCUGGGAAUGAUCUGCCUAUGGGGAACCACAGACCUAAAUGUCACAGACAGUCAUGGGUCAGGGGUGCUGUCAGCGUGAGACACGAAGGGGGGCUGCCUCUUCUUCAUCUCAACAACCUUCCCCCAAGGUGUCACUCGGGUGACGGACACGGCCGCUUUCCGCUACCGAUUGUUUUUUGGUUAUAAAAGCUCGUCUGUUGUCAGUCGCUCAGGCCAUCAGGAAAUUACCCCCAUGUGGAUGCUGGGAGGAAACAAAACGUAAGAAAGGAAAUAUAAUUAGAUUUUCAAACAAAACAAAAAAGGAAAUUGCCGGGUAGCUCCUGGUUGCAUAUGAAUUACACGAGGAGAGAGAGAGAAGAACGGCGGGCUCGGGAAUAAUUGUCAAAUAAUGGCGCUCUAGUCAAUUGUGAUCUGUUUGUUGGACUCACAGGACUCGAUGACUCCCGCACACAGUAUCUGUCUGGGCUGUGGCUUUUUUCACCUGAUAUAUUUGGCACAAUACUUUAUGGUUUGAGCAAAGUAUUGAUUGAAACUCCUGUGCUGAGGUGUUGACAGGGUGUGGAGGACACCGAGGUGAUGAACGCCGAGUUUCCGAUGUCCUCGUUUGUCUCGUGAAUGUGAACCUCGUUGUCGAUCUGCAUCUUUCCAGGAUUGUCUGCGGUUACGCACGUUGGAUAUUUAUCACGUGAGG
Molecule: long non-coding RNA, 1288 nt
Organism: Pleuronectes platessa (European plaice)
Lineage: Eukaryota; Metazoa; Chordata; Actinopteri; Pleuronectiformes; Pleuronectidae
Exons: 3
Source: RefSeq, a predicted model, not a curated record